CUUAGACAAUGUGUGAAGAGGCCUUUUUGGUGCCUGCUGAUGUUUUCCGGGAUGGUGGAUUCAGGAGUAUGCUGUCUUCACAAACAUUUCUGGCCUCAAAGUCACAUUGAGCAGCUUGGGCCUCCUAGCUCAGCCACUUAGUGUGUGACCUUUCUUGUCCUCCUUUGUAAAAUCAGAACAAAUUAUUCCUGUAGACAUGAGCACCUCAAGAGCAGGAGUGUUCCUCAUUUGCCAUUCUGUUCUCUAGAACUUGCAGUGCCUGGUGCCUAAUGAAUCCUGAGUGAACACAGGAGACAUGGUGAGAUCAUGUAUGUAAGGGCCUAAUACCACCCCUGAUUUAUAGCAACUGCUCAAUACAUGGGAGCCAAUCUUAUUAUUGCCACAGUGUUAUUUAUUUGAAUAUGGGAGGCAGCCUCUCAGAUGGCCGCCAGGGAGUCCCACCUCCUGGUAUUCUUGUAUUUGUACAUUCCUCGACUGUACACUGGAUAUAUUCACUCACUCCUAAGAAAUAGAAUGCAGCAGAAGGGAUGGAAUGUCACUUCCAAAAUUAUAAAAGACCAUGGCUUUUAUUUUGGGUCCUCUUUCUCACUGAGGUCUCUUGGAUUGCUCACCCUAGAGGAAGCCAGCUGCCAUGUCAUGAGGCAGCCCUGUGGGGAGGCUCAUGUGAUGAGGCGACUGAGUCCUGUAGACAACAACAAAUGUGAGCUUGGGAGUGGAUUCUCCAUCCAGUUGAGUCUUUGGAGGGGGCUGCGGUCCAGGCUGACAGCUUGACUGCCACGUUAUGAAAGACCGUCAGCCAGAGGCACCCAGCUAAGCCAUGCCUGGAUUCCUGACCCACAGAAACUGUGAGAUAACAAAUGUUUGUUGUUUUCCACGACUACAUUUUGUGGCAAUUAGUUACACAGCGAUAGAUAACUAAUGCAGUGCCUUUUCUUGGGUGAAAGAGUGCUGACAAUUUUUAGAGCCUGUGGCAGACAAGGAGAUGCACUGUUCAGAUCCCCAUUUAAGGGUGGGCUCACUGCCCAGCUGCAAAGAUUUCAGUUCACUGACAGCCUUCAAGUCCAGCUCAGCUUUCCAGCUGAGAUCAUGCUCUUCUUGGGACAUUCUCCCUAGUCAAUGACUGGGCAAGGGGGUGGAAGAACGGCCUAGCCAUCUCUGCUCAAUGCUGGACCCCUCCAGUGGGUAGUUUUUGCUUCAGAGCUUCCUGUUUGGCUGGUAGAGACUUUGAUAGGUCUCCUUCCAUGGGUGUUGCUCCCCAAUAAACCUUUCUAUUUUCCAUUCCCAUCAUAGCUUCUGCUUCCAGAGAAUCCAUUCUGUAAUGAAAUAUCUACUACACAGAAACUCAAGCUUUCAGCCAGGUGCAGAGGUGCUCACCUGUAAUCCCAGCACUUUGGGAGGCCAAGGCAGGAGGAUCGCUUGAGCUCAGGAGUUCAAGACCGGCCUGGGCAACAUAGCGAGACCCUGUCUCUGUGACACACACACACACACACACACACACACACACACACACAAAUUAGCCGGGCAUGGUGGUGCAUGUCUAUAGUCCUAACUAUUGGGAGACUGAGGCAGGAGAGUCACCUGAGCCUGUGAGCUCUAGGCUGCAGUGAGCCAUUAUCGUACCUCUACUCCAACCUGGGCAACAGAGUGAGAGCCUGUCUCUAACAAACAAACAAUCAAAUAAAGGCUCAAACUUUGUAGCCAACCCAGACCUGAGUCCAAAUACAGACUCUGCCCCUUGCUAGCUCUGUGACCCUGGGCAAAUUACUUAACUUUUCUGAGCCUUGAUUUUCCUACAUGUAAAAUAGAUGACAAAUAAUGUAGGAGCUGAAAUGGGAUACUUAUAGUGUAAAACAGAGUUCCCAGCUUCUAGUGAUAGUUAAAGGAUAAUUUUUUUUUUUUUGAGAUGGAGUCUCACUCUGUCACCCAGCCUGGAGUGCAGUGGUGUGAUCUCAGCUCACUGCAACUUCCGCCUCCUGGGGUCAAGUGAUUCUCGUGCCUCAGCCUCCCAAGUAGCUGAGAUUACAGGUAUGCGCCACCAUGCCUGGCUAAUUUUUGUAUUUUUAGUAGAGAUGGGGGUCUCACCAGGUUGGCCAGGCUGGUCUCGAACUCCUGACCUCAAGUGAUCCACCCACCUCGGCCUCCCAAAGUGCUGGGAUUACAGGUGUGAGCCAUCGCACCCAGCCAGGAGAACUAUUGUCUAUCCACAGACUACACAUCAACUAGUAUCUUUACAUUUUCCAUAAAAUGUUACUGGCAAUUGAUUAAAUACAUUGCCUAUUAUAUCUAUAGUAGAUCUUUGACAUUUGUGAGGAUUAUAUCCUUUACCUUUAUGAAAACUCAAGCUACCAAAGACCACUGUAGCACAUAUUGUCACAUAUAAAACAAAAUAAAGUACAACUGAAAAUUACACAUUACUCUGGUGUGUGUGUGUGUGUGUGUGUGUGUGUUUCAAGACAGGGUCUCACUCUGUCACUCAGCACCCAGGCUAGAGUACAGUGGCAUGAUCACAGCUCACUGUGGCUUCAAACUCCUGGGCUCAGACAAGUCUUCCAUCUCAGCCUCCCAAGUAGCUGGAACCACAGGUGCACAUCACCACACCCGGCUAAUUUUUAUUUUAUUUUUAUUUUCGUAGAGACAGGGCCUUGUUAGGUUGCCCAGGCUGGUCUCGAACUCUUGGGCUCAAGUGAUCCUCUUGCCUCAGUGCUAAGUGCUGGGAUUUAACAGGCGUGAGCCCCUGUGCCCGGCCUUCACUACUCUUUUAAGUCCUUAACAGUUCUAUAAGUAAGGAACUAAAGCUGUAUAAAGCUAUUAAAAAUAAGUGUGGCUUCAGUAAUGCCAAAGCAAUUUGGAGGAUUGUUUCUCUUGUUGGCACUGAACCUUACCACAUCAGAGGGCUGAGCCACUGCUGAAUGCCACCCUUUUAAUAAACCCAGACAUCUGAAAUUUAACAGGUCAAAACCUGUUUCUCCUACAGUCUGUGUCACCUUGGUAGAUAAUUCCAAGCCAGAAAACAGGAAGCCAUCAGUGAUAGCUCCCUCUUAUCCCUUACCUCCAAUCCAACAUCAUGUCUUAUUUAUCUAUUUGUUUUCCUUCAAAAUGGCCUAAAUCCCCUCACCCCUUUCCAUCCUCGCUGGUACCACCCCAGCUUCUUCUCUUUCAAGAGCCUGUUCACUUGCUCUCCUCUAGUUUAUUCUCCAUGAUACAGCCAGAUAGCUCUUUUUAAAAUGCAAACAAUGAUGAAUUUCCACAAUUCCCCAUGCAUUUGGAAUAACGGCUAUACUCUAUCUGCGCAAGCUACCCCCAGCCCCUCUCCACAAUCUGACCUGCACUCCCCAAACAUCCCCUUCCAGGAGUCAAUUUCUGUCUUGUCUUGUCUUAUUCAGCGCUGGCCAUAGGCAUUCCCUGUGUCUGGAACUCUCUUCUACAAGCUGUGGCUGCAGGCUCCUUUUUCUCCUUCAGAUCUGAACCUAAACAUCACCUCCACAUGGAAGCCUUUAUUAAGCAUCCUCUGAAAUAGGUUCCACCACAUAAAGCUUCCUUCUAUUAUUCGCAACCACAGUACCCACGUCAUUUCCUUCUUUGCAUGCACCCCUGUUGGUCAGGACACACUUAUUGGUUUAUUUGGAGGUUUCCCUCCAUUUGUUGCAGUUUCUUUGAGUGCAGAGGGCUUAUUCCUUGUGUUCAUCCAGAGCCAAUCCCAGUGCUGACCACAAUACAGAUUUCAUAAAUACAGUAAAUCCAGUAGUUCCCCCUUACCCAUGGGGGACAUGUUCCUAAACCCCCAGUGGAUGCCUAAAAUCACAGAUAGUACAAAACCUUUUUUUUUUUUAAUCUUUGUAGGUAGUGUAUUUUAAAUAGCUUUCAAGACACACAUAUUUUUUCCUUUAAAAAAGUCUGUUGGUGGCCGGGCGCGGUGGCUCACGCCUGUAAUCCCAGCACUUUGGGAGGCCAAGGCGGGCGGAUCACGAGGUCAGGAGUUUGAGACCAGCCUGGGCAACAUGGUGAAACCCCAUCUCUACUAAAAACACAAAAAAUUAGCCAGGCGUGGUGGCACACGCCUGUAAUCCCAGCUACUCAGGAGGCUGAGGCAGAAGAAUCGCUUGAACCCGGGAAGCGGAAGUUGCAGUGAGCCGCCGAGAUUGUGCCACUGUACUCCAGCCUGGGCGACAGAGCUAGACUUCCUCAAAAAAAAAAAAAAAAAAAAAAAAAAAAAAAGUCCGUUGGAGCAGUUUUGUUCCUGAAUUUUGCUGGUCAUUCUCAUGGUCCCGAGCCCCCAAACUCCAGGUCCUGGAGGCAGCCGAGGGGAAGGCUGGGAGCCCACGCGGCCUAUUCUGACGGCGCUCGCAGCACUGGUGGAGCAGCGGUGCCCCGUCUUGCCACAGAUCAUGCAUGGCCGCCAUGUGAGCUAAAACUUCCAUUUAUUUCAAAGCAGUAAUAAUUUAAAAUUCUAAAAAUCUUUCCACCGCUGAACGUUUAGAGGGUGAGGUUAGACAAAAGACGGGGAGGCUGAAGGCGCCCCAGAGGGGACCAUGUGGCCCACGCCUUCCCGAGCCAGGGAGCCGGUGGGCCGGUCCAGGAUCCUGCCCUGGAACAGGCGGGGCCUGUAGCGCUGACCAGCCAAGACUGGCGCCUCUGGGGCACCCAGUCUGUGGGUGCCGUGCGGCCCUGGCUGAGGGUGGUUGGGAAAGUCCCCGCGGUUUCCCCGCAGCCUCAGGCGCAGCGGGCAGUGGUGGGUGCCGGCCCACGCGGGCUCAGGAGUUACUUGUGGCGUUCUCUUUACUGGGCGAGCUGGAGGAGGGGGAGGACGACGAGGAGGAGCAGUUCAUCCCAGUCGGGCCCGGGGCGGGGGUGUUCGUGGCCGUGUUGUGUCCCGGGAGGCUUUUUCGGCAGACGGGGCAGCUGUCGUGCUGCUCCAGCCGGUGCACUAUGCAGCCAUCGUGGAACAGGUGGUUGCGGGGCAGCUGCUCGCCCAGCGCGUAGUCGUCCUUGCACACGGGGCACUCGAGCCCGGAGCCUACGUGCUCCUCGGUGACGGGGACGGUGGGGAGGGUCCUUGCUGCCGUCAGCCUGCGCCCCAGGAGAGAACGUGGGGAUCUCGAAGCUGUCGUCAAAGAUGCCGAAAGCAAACUGUCCGUAGCCCUGCGGCAGCGUGAACAGGUGCUGGUCCGCGUUCUCCAACGGCGGCCGGCUCUGGUCCGUGGGGGCAGUGGAAGGGGCAGAGCUGUUUUCUGUGCUCCUGGUCUCUUCAGGAAGCUCCUCGAUAAAAUCAGACGCACAUCUUGGGCAGAUAUAAUCCGAUAGGCGCGGGACGGUGUCCAGGGAGCAGCAGUGGCAGAAGAACCGUCCUAGCUGCUGCGACGCCUCGGCCCUGGCCACCGCCCCCUACUCUGCGCCGCCCGCCCCCCGCGAGGCGCCAACCGCCGGCCAUUUGCUGCUCCCUCGCUGAUCGACGCCCAAACCUUUUAUAUACUAUGUUUUUCCUACCUACAUAUCUAUGAUCGAGUUUAAUUUACAAAAUAGGCGCUUACUAAGGAAGCGAUUAACAACAAUAACGAAUAAUAAACACAACAAUUGAGUCAAAUAAGGGUUACUUGAACACAAGCACUGCAAUACCAUGGAUUGGUCUGAUAACUAACAGCUACUAAGAGACUAAUGGGCAAGUAGCAUCUACAGUUCAGAUACACUGAACAGCCGGAGGAUUCACAGGCCGGGAGGGGUGAAGCAAGACGGUGUGAGAUUUCAUCACGCCACUCAGAAUGGCAAGCAACUGAAAACAUGAAUUAUUUCUGGAAUUUUCAGUUUAAUAUUUU
This 5810-nucleotide long non-coding RNA is filed under the name Homo sapiens (human). RNAcentral describes it as "non-protein coding lnc-COIL-1:1". The record is from RNAcentral. Lineage: Eukaryota; Metazoa; Chordata; Mammalia; Primates; Hominidae.